Stylophora pistillata is the source of this 931-nucleotide long non-coding RNA. NCBI's taxonomy places the organism in Eukaryota, Metazoa, Cnidaria, Anthozoa, Scleractinia, Pocilloporidae. The record is from RefSeq and is a predicted model, not a curated record.
GCGAUGCGAACAUACCAGGAAAGCCUACAAGUUUUUCGCUGAACCUGGCUACCUUCAUGAUAAGAAACUUCAAUAUUCUGCUAACCAGGUCAAAGUAACAUCAAAGUGAUAGUAAACCAUUGGUCACCAUGGCUUAGUUGCUCACGAGAUAGGAAAGUGUAUGACAGCUCAGCUGGGGGGAAUGGUUACCUCCCAUUUGGACUUUUCGAAACCAAAGUUGUCAAGGAAAGCUCAACUGAUUUUGAUGGAGUACCUCAUAUUUACAAAAACCCCGUUGCCAAGCAGCUGUCACUGAAGAGAAACCAUGAAUACCAUUACCAAUGGAAUGACUUUUUCAGUUAUAUCAAUGAGACAACUUUCUUCUGUGAAAUAAUUUAUUAUGAUGCAGAAUUUUUUCAGAUCGCCAAAGAUAAUGUGGAUGCCUUCUUCUUUUUAUUUUUACUUGAAUAGGAACCUCGAAUUGUGCAAACUCCUAAUAUUUUAUGUUUCAAGUACAUACUAGCUAGUAUUAUUAUUACAACUACAACAACAACUUAUUUGUACUCAGAAUCAAAAUGAAUUAAAUGAACAACAAUAAGUUGGUUAGGCAUGUACAAGCUCAAGUGCAUUGUCCUCAAGACUUGAUUCUGCAGUAAUCUAUUACUGUCUCAAGGUUUUGUAAUGCUUAGAACUCUUAUUUAGAUGUUUUCUUUUAUUUCGUUUUCUCAAUACAAAGAAGCUGCAUUAACACAUACUACUGAUGACAGACAUUUACACUCUUAGAAGAUUUUAUUACCACUAAUGUUUUUAAGGGGGAUGAAAAAAAUUGAAGUCUUUGGAUGGAUUGAAUAAAAUUCACCAAUUACAGAUAUAGAUGUUUAAUAAUGAACUGUUGUGUCUUCAAGAAACAUGUUUGCAGUUGUACAAUGAAAUAAAAAAUCAUCUUGGCAAA